AACGUAGGAGGCGAGCGUUAUCCGGAUUUACUGGGUGUAAAGCGCGAGCAGGCGGUGGUGCAAGUCAUGUGUGAAAGCGCUCAGGCUCAACCGGGCGAGGACGGGUGAGACUGCACCACUGGAGGCAGGUAGAGGCGGAUGGAAUUCCGGGUGUAGUGGUGAAAUGCGUAGAGAUCCGGAGGAACACCAGUGGCGAAGGCGGUCCGCUGGGCCUGGCCUGACGCUCAGACGCGAAAGCAUGGGGAGCGAACGGG
Molecule: ribosomal RNA, 254 nt
Filed under: uncultured bacterium
Lineage: Bacteria
Description: partial 16S ribosomal RNA
Rfam family: Bacterial small subunit ribosomal RNA
Source: RNAcentral